ACCGAGGUCUAUCCCGAUAAGUCUUCCCUAUAGAUUUGUGUCGUUGGAAAUGCCUCGAAAAUUAAAUUUGUGGUUAGCUUUACUCACUAAGCUACUUUCAUAGGCUUAGUGGGAUAAAACUGCAAUACAAGA
Protopterus annectens (West African lungfish) is the source of this 132-nucleotide small nucleolar RNA. The record is from RefSeq and is a predicted model, not a curated record. Lineage: Eukaryota; Metazoa; Chordata; Ceratodontiformes; Protopteridae.